AGCGGCGGACGGGUGAGUAACGCGUGGGCAACCUGCCUCAUACAAAGGGAUAGCCACUGGAAACGGUGAUUAAUACCUUAUAAGUCGGUAGCAUCGCAUGAUGUAGCCGACAAAGAUUUAUCGGUAUGAGAUGGGCCCGCGUCUGAUUAGCUAGUUGGUAAGGUAACGGCUUACCAAGGCGACGAUCAGUAGCCGACCUGAGAGGGUGAUCGGCCACACUGGAACUGAGACACGGUCCAGACUCCUACGGGAGGCAGCAGUGGGGAAUAUUGCACAAUGGGCGCAAGCCUGAUGCAGCAACGCCGCGUGAGUGAUGAAGGCCUUCGGGUUGUAAAACUCUGUCCUAUGGGAAGAAACAAAUGACGGUACCAUAGGAGGAAGCCCCGGCUAACUACGUGCCAGCAGCCGCGGUAAUACGUAGGGGGCAAGCGUUAUCCGGAAUCACUGGGCGUAAAGGGUGCGUAGGCGGCUUAUCAAGCCAGGGGUGAAAGGCAUUGGCUCAACCAAUGUAAGCCUUUGGAACUGAUAGGCUUGAGUGCAGGAGAGGUAAGUGGAAUUCCUAGUGUAGAGGUGAAAUUCGUAGAUAUUAGGAGGAACACCAGUGGCGAAGGCGACUUACUGGACUGUAACUGACGCUGAGGCACGAAAGCGUGGGUAGCGAACAGGAUUAGAUACCCUGGUAGUCCACGCC
Molecule: ribosomal RNA, 691 nt
Filed under: uncultured bacterium
Lineage: Bacteria
Description: bacterial SSU rRNA
Rfam family: Bacterial small subunit ribosomal RNA
Source: RNAcentral